Non-coding RNA from Glycine max (soybean), 120 nucleotides. Lineage: Eukaryota; Viridiplantae; Streptophyta; Magnoliopsida; Fabales; Fabaceae. The record is from Rfam.
UUUUUAUUGGAUGAUAAUUGUCACGUGUCAUGUUCUGAUUGAUCAAUGAAAACAACAAUGUAUUUGUUUUUUCAUAGAGUUAACAUCCAAUCAGAACAUGACAUGUGAUAGUCAUCAUCA